ACAGAGGUGGCAAGCGUUGUUCGGAAUUACUGGGCGUAAAGGGCGCGUAGGCGGUCGAUUAAGUCCCGUGUGAAAUCCCUCGGCUCAACUGAGGAACUGCACGGGAAACUGGCUGACUUGAGUUCGGGAGAGGGAAGCGGAAUUCCGGGUGUAGCGGUGAAAUGCGUAGAUAUCCGGAGGAACACCGGUGGCGAAGGCGGCUUCCUGGACCGAUACUGACGCUGAGGCGCGAAAGCUAGGGGAGCAAACGGGAUUAGAUACCCCGGUAGUCCUAGCUGUAAACGAUGAGUGCUGGGUGUAGGGGGUAUUAACCCCUCCUGUGCCGAAGCUAACGCAUUAAGCACUCCGCCUGGGGAGUACGGUCGCAAGGCUG
RNAcentral lists this ribosomal RNA (373 nucleotides) under uncultured bacterium. RNAcentral's name for it is "bacterial SSU rRNA". It matches the Rfam family "Bacterial small subunit ribosomal RNA", at positions 525 to 896 of the family's 1533-position model. The record is from RNAcentral.